AACUUACAAUGCAAGUCGAACGAUGAUUAUCUAGCUUGCUAGAUAUGAUUAGUGGCGGACGGGUGAGUAACAUUUAGGAAUCUGCCUAGUAGUGGGGGAUAGCUCGGGGAAACUCGAAUUAAUACCGCAUACGACCUACGGGUGAAAGGGGGCGCAAGCUCUUGCUAUUAGAUGAGCCUAAAUCAGAUUAGCUAGUUGGUGGGGUAAAGGCCCACCAAGGCGACGAUCUGUAACUGGUCUGAGAGGAUGAUCAGUCACACCGGAACUGAGACACGGUCCGGACUCCUACGGGAGGCAGCAGUGGGGAAUAUUGGACAAUGGGGGCAACCCUGAUCCAGCCAUGCCGCGUGUGUGAAGAAGGCCUUUUGGUUGUAAAGCACUUUAAGCAGGGAGGAGAGGCUAAUGGUUAAUACCCAUUAGAUUAGACGUUACCUGCAGAAUAAGCACCGGCUAACUCUGUGCCAGCAGCCGCGGUAAUACAGAGGGUGCGAGCGUUAAUCGGAAUUACUGGGCGUAAAGCGAGUGUAGGUGGCUCAUUAAGUCACAUGUGAAAUCCCCGGGCUUAACCUGGGAACUGCAUGUGAUACUGGUGGUGCUAGAAUAUGUGAGAGGGAAGUAGAAUUCCAGGUGUAGCGGUGAAAUGCGUAGAGAUCUGGAGGAAUACCGAUGGCGAAGGCAGCUUCCUGGCAUAAUAUUGACACUGAGAUUCGAAAGCGUGGGUAGCAAACAGGAUUAGAUACCCUGGUAGUCCACGCCGUAAACGAUGUCUACUAGCCGUUGGGGUCCUUGAGACUUUAGUGGCGCAGUUAACGCGAUAAGUAGACCGCCUGGGGAGUACGGCCGCAAGGUUAAAACUCAAAUGAAUUGACGGGGGCCCGCACAAGCGGUGGAGCAUGUGGUUUAAUUCGAUGCAACGCGAAGAACCUUACCUGGUCUUGACAUAGUGAGAAUCCUGCAGAGAUGCGGGAGUGCCUUCGGGAAUUCACAUACAGGUGCUGCAUGGCUGUCGUCAGCUCGUGUCGUGAGAUGUUGGGUUAAGUCCCGCAACGAGCGCAACCCUUUUCCUUAUUUGCCAGCGGGUUAAGCCGGGAACUUUAAGGAUACUGGCCAGUGACAAACUGGAAGGAAGGCGGGACGACGUCAAGUCAUCAUGGCCCUUACGACCAG
Molecule: ribosomal RNA, 1167 nt
Filed under: Faucicola osloensis
Lineage: Bacteria; Pseudomonadati; Pseudomonadota; Gammaproteobacteria; Moraxellales; Moraxellaceae
Description: bacterial SSU rRNA
Rfam family: Bacterial small subunit ribosomal RNA
Source: RNAcentral